Molecule: long non-coding RNA, 480 nt
Organism: Ochotona princeps (American pika)
Lineage: Eukaryota; Metazoa; Chordata; Mammalia; Lagomorpha; Ochotonidae
Exons: 3
Source: RefSeq, a predicted model, not a curated record
UGACUAAAGCAAAAGGUGGUCAUAGAAGGCUUUCCUGAAGAACAAACGCAUCUCCAUAUAUUAUUCUAAGGAACCUGAGCUUUCCAUGAAGACUGUAGGGUAGAUGGGAAAAACCUGUUCCAAGAAGACAAGAUCCCUCCUAGACACCAGAGGGUUAAGGAAGGAAGAGACAUGUUGGCCAGCUUAUGCUGUGGCCACCACUGGAAAUGUAUUUGGUGGGAGCUGCAGAGAGAGGUGCUACAGAGACGAGCGCCAACCACACAGAGGUGAGCCUGGCCCAGCGUGGAGUUAGGCGGGCCAUGGCUCCUGAGGCUCAUCGCCGUGCUCCGUGUGGCUGAGCUGAUCACUGCCCCUGACUCAUCUUUACACAAUCGCAGAGAGACUACCUCAGACUAAGUCGGAAGCACCACCACCCAUACCCAGGGGUUAAGAUUUCAGAUAAGCACCUUGAAACUUGGAAGAGGUCACAUCAGGAUAAAU